RNAcentral lists this ribosomal RNA (368 nucleotides) under uncultured organism. Its description in RNAcentral is "bacterial SSU rRNA". It matches the Rfam family "Bacterial small subunit ribosomal RNA", at positions 526 to 896 of the family's 1533-position model. The record is from RNAcentral.
CGAAGGAUCCAAGCGUUAUCCGGAUUCAUUGGGUUUAAAGGGAGCGUAGGCGGGUUUAUAAGUCAGUGGUGAAAGCCGAUCGCUUAACGAUCGAACUGCCAUUGAUACUGUAGACCUAGAGUACAGAUGAUGUUGGCGGAAUAUGACAUGUAGCGGUGAAAUGCAUAGAUAUGUCAUAGAACACCGAUUGCGAAGGCAGCUGACAAAACUGUAACUGACGCUGAGGCUCGAAAGUGCGGGGAUCAAACAGGAUUAGAUACCCUGGUAGUCCGCACAGUAAACGAUGAUAACUAGUUGUUUGCGAUAUACAGUAAGCGACCAAGCGAAAGCGAUAAGUUAUCCACCUGGGGAGUACGCUCGCAAGAGUG